AAGAAACGGACUCGGCAGGAUAUCGCAUCAUGGGCCUACGUAGUUUGUCUGAAACAAGCAUCAGAGUCGAUGUAGUUCGGGGCGGGGGGAAACGUGCUCGCUAGGACAUCGAAUCCUAUGCAUACGUAUCUUCUCUUACCAGAGAAGAAUCAGAGCACUCGUAGCUCGGCUAACGCACGCCAAACAAAACUCAAACAAGAAAUCGACUGUCAAUCGCUGGACUUACGUCAGACUCCAAACAAACAGGAAAACCUGGAAACCGAAUGCCA
This 269-nucleotide long non-coding RNA is filed under the name Lathyrus oleraceus (garden pea). RNAcentral describes it as "Pisum sativum (pea) long non-coding RNA (PSAT_LNC006054)". The record is from RNAcentral. Lineage: Eukaryota; Viridiplantae; Streptophyta; Magnoliopsida; Fabales; Fabaceae.